UAUCUACUGCUUUUGCUUUCAUGUUUGAUUGCUUGGUUUGCCUUGAUCAGUCAGCUUGCGGUCAUGGUCCACGCCGCUCUGUGUAUGUGUGACUGUUUUGGUGCUGCUGGCUGGCAAUCGCUCUCUUUUAGUGCUCUGUGUUCCUCCCCUCUGCACUCAUACGUUUCCUUCCUUUUUUCCUUUUUCUCCAGAGUGCGGCUCCGCUGAUUGGCCGGUGUCAUCAUAUGACACGGCUGCUUCAGCGCUAAGGAGUGUGGGAAUUGUAGGCAUCUCAGCGACCAUGUGACCUCUGAGAUCCAAUCGCGAUGCACCCGCCUCCCCAACAGGCUAUAUAUAGCAUGAUAUGAUCAUUAUCUGUCUGCUACCAACAGGGUACUGACAGAUGUCUUUAUUCCUCUUAAAGAUAGGAGAUUAUCUGUGGACUUUUCAGCUGCAAUUGACUGGUCCUUGAUUUUUGCUGCAAACGACUAUCCUUUGACUUUCUAUCACCAGCUGAUGUUUGCUUGCACUCAGACUGUUCAUCUAGUUAAAUACUCCAUAUGAAUUGAGGCUCUUCAGUGCCCAUGUUAUUGUCUUACUUAAUUCCCCUGUAUUCACCUUGAUUUUAUUACGCUUCAAGUCCUGUCAGUUGAACUUGGAUUUCAAUAUCCACCCUGAGGGGGUUUUUCCUUGACUGGCUGUGCAUGAA
Long non-coding RNA from Rana temporaria (common frog), 688 nucleotides. RefSeq lists it as uncharacterized. Lineage: Eukaryota; Metazoa; Chordata; Amphibia; Anura; Ranidae. The record is from RefSeq and is a predicted model, not a curated record. The transcript is spliced from 4 exons.